GUCCACGCCCUAAACUAUGGACACUAAGUGUCGGCGGGUUACCGCCGGUGCCGCAGCUAACGCAUUAAGUGUCCCGCCUGGGAAGUACGGCCGCAAGGUUGAAACUCAAAGGAAUUGACGGGGGCCCGCACAAGCGGUGGAGCAUGUGGUUCAAUUCGACGCAACGCGAAGAACCUUACCCAGGUUGGACAUGCACGUAGUAAGACCCUGAAAGGGGGAUGAGCCUGAAAGGGCAGCGUGCUCAGGUGCUGCAUGGCUGUCGU
Molecule: ribosomal RNA, 263 nt
Filed under: uncultured bacterium
Lineage: Bacteria
Description: partial 16S ribosomal RNA
Rfam family: Bacterial small subunit ribosomal RNA
Source: RNAcentral